Molecule: transfer RNA, 85 nt
Filed under: Coriobacteriales bacterium
Lineage: Bacteria; Bacillati; Actinomycetota; Coriobacteriia; Coriobacteriales
Description: tRNA-Leu
Rfam family: tRNA
About the family: Transfer RNA (tRNA) molecules are approximately 80 nucleotides in length.
Source: RNAcentral
GCGGGCGUGGCGGAAUUGGCAGACGCGCAAGACUAAGGAUCUUGUGAGGAGACUCGUGAAGGUUCAAAUCCUUUCGCCCGCACCA